UGAGCCGAAGUCGGAAGCUCAACCGACUGAGCCACCCAGGCGCCCCUCGCUAUUGUUAAUAAUGCCAGCGUGAACGCUGGUGUGCCAGUGUCUCUUCAAGACCCCGCCUUCAGUUCUUUGAAGUACGCUUGCUGCGUGGAUGGUGGCGUCUCUGUGUUUAUUUUCUCCAGGAACUUCCAUACUUUUCCACAGAGGCUGCACCACCUUAUGUGCCCACCUGCAGUGCACAGGGGAAACAGACCUGGCAUCCUUUUUAAGAGUGGAAUUAAGGAGGUCUAAAUUUCCAGUUACAAAAUCAAGAAGUCACGGGGAUAAAAAAGAACAGCAUAGGAAACACAGGCAGUAAUGUUGUGAUAACGUCGUGUAAUGACGGAUGGCAGCUAGGCUCACGGUGCGGGAUGCUGGGGAUUGUGUGCAGUUGUGCGAUCCCCGUACGUCCGCCUGAAACUAAUAUGACCCUGUGCGUCCACUCUGUGAAAGCCACCGCACCAGAGUGGAGACGGGCCACAUCCCGGGAGUUCAGGUGGCAGGAUCCCGAGCCUGACGUCAGCCAGGAGCUCGGGGGCUCCCUGCCGUUGGUCGAUCCCUGUGUUCCUGGCGUGGCCUGGCAGGGUCGUGCAGAAUUCUAUGCCCAGCCACCUCUGAGCUGGUCACCGUGUAGAGCACAGUUUAGUCCGCACGUGGCCGAUCCUGUAGACGCCUGCCCCGUGUCUGCCUCCCCCUUUUUGCAUCCUAACACCGCUGCGCUUUUGUUCACACUUAGGGCCGGAGAUGUGUUUACUGGCCCCGGGUGCUGGGGGAGGCGCUGGGGGGGGGGGGGGCAGGGAGGACAAAGGGCCCCCAGGUGCGGAGGGUGGAUUAGUGCGGCCGAAACUAGAAUCGCAGAGUCUGCUCUGGACACUCGUUCGCCGCCCAGGACGGGGAGCCGGCAGCCCAGGGCAGAGCGAGUGCGUCCCCCCUUCCUGGGAAGGAGGCCAGUUAGAGCCGCCCCGCGGGGCCGGGGCCCGACGCCCCUCGCCAAGGACGCUGUGUUGUCUGUGUAUUUGGAAGGAAAGGAGGGUUAAAAUACCUCUUUGUCUACUGAGGACCGGGUCCGUCGUGACUCAUUUCUCCUUCCUUCCGUUUAGUAAGAGAGACGGGCCCUGUGCCAGCCAGUACGUUCCCAGGCCAGGCAGGUGCAGAACUCCCUGAGACGCUGCAACACACUGGAUUGCUCGUUUAAUUUAAGGCUUAAACAGCUCCAAGAAAUACGUAGAAGCCUAUGCAUCACCGCGGAGGACUUGAUCGGAGUUUCCACUUUACUGGUUUAACGAGUCCCCACGAUACUCGGUUCCAACCCGGGCGCACAUUUUGGAUUGCUGACGAGGCUCAGAACAUGCGCGUGCCCCAGUGUUUCACACCGACAGGCAGAGACACACGGGGUGGUCCUUCUCACGGGCCCUCCUCCUCCUGCACCCGCCUGGGGCCUGCGGGCCCGGCAGCCCCGGGUGCCCUGCACGCGCCCUGCUGCCUCCCUGGGACCCCUGCGGCCACCUGCCAGCAGCCGACUUGCGGAGCUAGGAUUUCCCGUGUUGGAAACAGGAAACAUAAAAAAUAAUCCUCUAGUUACGCAGAGACCCGGUGAGCAGAUCAGUGCGCCCUGAGCAGGCCCCUCAAGUGCAACCCAGCUCUGACCUUCCGCAGAGACCCCCUUCUUCCCAUUAUUGAUUCUUUAAUGGCAUCUAAUGAUGAUGUAAGGAGGCUGCCGGCCGGGCCCUUCAGUGCCGUCGAUCACUUGUUAAGGAUCAGAGAGGCACGCCCAUCUGCGUACCCCCGACCCGACAUCCCUGGAGGACCCUGCGCUGCCCCAGGACCCCUCCACCCGGUCCUUCCGGCCCUGCCCCCUCCGCC
Herpailurus yagouaroundi (jaguarundi) is the source of this 1890-nucleotide long non-coding RNA. RefSeq lists it as uncharacterized. The record is from RefSeq and is a predicted model, not a curated record. NCBI's taxonomy places the organism in Eukaryota, Metazoa, Chordata, Mammalia, Carnivora, Felidae. The transcript is spliced from 3 exons.